Molecule: microRNA precursor, 58 nt
Filed under: Limulus polyphemus (Atlantic horseshoe crab)
Lineage: Eukaryota; Metazoa; Arthropoda; Merostomata; Xiphosura; Limulidae
Description: Lpo-Mir-315-P4_pre stem-loop
Source: RNAcentral
UUUUGAUUGUUGCUCAGAAGGCGUGGACUUGACAGGCUUUCGAGCAGCGAUCAAACGC